RNAcentral lists this long non-coding RNA (201 nucleotides) under Dromaius novaehollandiae (emu). RNAcentral's name for it is "lncRNA (ENSDNVG00000013470.1)". Lineage: Eukaryota; Metazoa; Chordata; Aves; Casuariiformes; Dromaiidae. The record is from RNAcentral.
CGCAGGCUCCGGCCCCGCCUGCCGCGAAGAAACGCGGCGGAAAAGUACGAACGGCACGAGGCAAGGACUCUCAGUCACAUGUGAGGCUAGACAUCAGCUGAGAUAAGAAGAGCUCCAGUCAGCACCUGUCAUUUAUUGUUAUUGACAGAUUGGCAGAGGUUGAGAUUUCUGGCAGAACUGUAUCUUGUGUAAUUCCUCUCC